RNAcentral lists this long non-coding RNA (2517 nucleotides) under Sus scrofa (pig). RNAcentral's name for it is "lncRNA (ENSSSCG00025037299.1)". Lineage: Eukaryota; Metazoa; Chordata; Mammalia; Artiodactyla; Suidae. The record is from RNAcentral.
AGGGCAAGUGCGAUUCUGAGAGACCAAGUGAGGCAGGCAUCCUGGGAUGAGGGCUCCAUAUGGAUGAUCCGGGCUGCCCAAGCUGUCCUGCCCACCUCUUUGGAACAACCCCUCGGAGCUAUGUGAGAGGAUGCCACCCUGGGCGACAGUCGUCAGUAAGGCUACCAAGUAAAAUAACUCUCACUUUUUACAUCGUGCAUUUUUUUUCCCGGUCAACAUACCUUAAAUCAUGAUGUUGAAUUCCCCUCCUCUUGUGGGUUUGGUCUGCCAAGCCAGCCAUCCUGGGACCACAUCACCCACCCUAGGCUGGUUUCUAAAUUUCAAAGCUGCAGCCUAGAGAAUGUAGGAAGCCAGUCCUUGGAAUUCUGAUAUGUGGCCAAGAUUUGCCUUUUACCCCACCUGGAGCAGAGGCCAUGGCAACAAGUUGCCACAUGUCUCAUAAGCAAAGAAUUGCCUUAUGUUACCAAUGUGUUCUGUUUUCACCUUGACGUAGAAAGGACACAUUUAAGCCUACAACACAUUGUUGAAAUAACAAAGCCGACUAGCAUCCAUGAGGACACGGGUUCAAUCCCUGGCCUUGCUCAGUGGGUUAAGGAUUUGGUGUUGCCAUGAGCUGCAGUGAAGGUCACAGACAUGGCUCAGAUCUGGCGUUGCUGUGCCGGUGGCAUAGGCUGGUGGUUACAGCUCCAAUUUGACCCCUAGCCUGGGAACCUCCAUAUGCUGCAGGUACAGCCCUAAAAAGCCAAAAAAAGGAAAGCAAGCAGUGAUCUGCCAACCACUCUCCUGCCCCUUACACAGCGCACAGGGAGGCAGUGGGGGACACACCAGUACUAAAGCCGGGCAGAAAUGACAGAUGGUUGUCCACUGCCUCAUCAGCUUCCAUCUAAAUUAAUGGGAAGUGGCUUUCUGUUCCCUUUACUCUUCAGAUUUGCUGUUGGCUCCCUUGUGUACCUGAGGGGGAAAGCUCAGGUGGGGAGGUGAUAUAUCUCAGGCCUUGUUCAAGAGUGGAACUCGCUUCUCAAGUCUCAAUUCCAAAAAAAAAAUAUGUUGUUCCUGCCAGGCGUUUAGCUUCCAGAAACACAGGCAUGACUAAAAUGCUUCAUGCGAUACAAUGCCAGAGGCCCCAUCAAAUUUCAAAAGUUGACAUGAUCAGCUGCAUCAUGUCAGGAAAAGCGCCGAGAAAGAAAAGUGCCUCUAAAAGAAAACCUGAAACAUCCCCCCACCUAAAUUCACCUCGGGGAAAAGGAAAAGAAACCCGGGUGAUGCCCUGGGGCCCAUCUGCUCCAGGAUCCUCUGUUCACACUGUGUCGGAAAGGGAGUGUACAGAUCUGUGUCCAGCUGUGUCCAACUCUACUCUUUAUAAACAACUUCCAGGAGUCUCAUUACCAUCAUGCGUCCGGAGCAAAAGAGGUAAGGAAACAUUUAAAAAACAAACUAAGAGUUCUCAUCAUGGUGCAGCAGAAACGAAUCUGACUAGUAUCCAUGAGGAUGCAGGUUCAAUCCCCGGCCUCACUCAGUGGGUUAAGGACCUGGUAUUGCCAUGAGCUGUGGUGUAGCCUGCAGAUGCGGCUCGGAUCCGGCGUGGCUGUGGCUGUGGCUGUGGCUAUGGUCAGUGGCUACAGCUCCGAUUAGACCCCUAGCCUGGGGACCUCCAAGUGCCGUAGGUGUGGUCCUAAAAAGAUAAAAAAAAAAACAAAAACCUAUAUAACUGUCACAUGCUAAUAUUAUUCAGUCUUUUUAGAUCUUGUCGGGGGAGGGGGGAAUGAAGAGCAAGGCUCUAGAGACAGACGGACUGUGUCCAAUUCUAGCCGAGUCUUUCAGCUCCAUGACCUUGGGUUAGAUUAACUGACUUUCUGAGCCUCAGUUUCCCCAGGUAUAAAAUACAGACAAUAAUUCACAUCUACCUUGAAAACCUGUGGCAAUUCCUGAGUCACCUACAGGAAAAUUCAGGACUCUGAGAGGCACAUACUAAAUAGCUAAUACAUAUUAACACUUACUAUAGGUGAGAAUAUUCCCACCAUGAGUCAGGGUCUCAGGCUCUGUUUGGGGCACAGGAGCUUGUUUUGUAAAGACAGACUCUGCCCUGUAGCUAAAAUGUCUGCCUCUCACCUCCACUAACACCUUUAAAUGUACGUUUUUAAGCGCCGAGGUAAGAGGGGGAGGAUGAGUCAGCAACCAAACAUCAAAUUAGAGUCAGCGGCAUCCUGUCCAUAAUAUAAGAAGCAACACUUGUACUAUGAAACAGUAUGGAUUUUUAAGGAAGAAUCAUGACAGGAGGGUCUCCAUUCUAAACCCACUUAAAUAAAGGCACAUCAAGCAGAGAAGCAAUAUAUGCCACCAUUCAAAAAUCCCAAAAGUCACACUGUGCCAAAACUUCAAAUCAGGAUGAGAUCAGUAGACAGAAAUCCGAGGGAAAAUGAACAAAACUAAAACAAACAAACAAAACCCAACACCUUGCAAAGGAAAUCCUAGCUCCUUUUAUACCUGUCUGUAGCUGCCCAGGCUUGUUUAACAUUG